GUGGGGAAUAUUGCACAAUGGGGGAAACCCUGAUGCAGCGACGCCGCGUGAAGGAUGAAGUAUUUCGGUAUGUAAACUUCUAUCAGCAGGGAAGAAAAUGACGGUACCUGACUAAGAAGCCCCGGCUAACUACGUGCCAGCAGCCGCGGUAAUACGUAGGGGGCAAGCGUUAUCCGGAUUUACUGGGUGUAAAGGGAGCGUAGACGGCUGUGCAAGUCUGGAGUGAAAACCCGGGGCUCAACCCCGGGAUUGCUUUGGAAACUGUGUAGCUGGAGUACCGGAGAGGCAAGUGGAAUUCCUAGUGUAGCGGUGAAAUGCGUAGAUAUUAGGAGGAACACCAGUGGCGAAGGCGGCUUGCUGGACGGUAACUGACGUUGAGGCUCGAAAGCGUGGGGAGCAAACAGGAUUAGAAACCCCUGUAGUCC
RNAcentral lists this ribosomal RNA (425 nucleotides) under uncultured bacterium. RNAcentral describes it as "bacterial SSU rRNA". It matches the Rfam family "Bacterial small subunit ribosomal RNA", at positions 354 to 796 of the family's 1533-position model. The record is from RNAcentral.